Molecule: non-coding RNA, 87 nt
Organism: Xylariales sp. AK1849
Lineage: Eukaryota; Fungi; Ascomycota; Sordariomycetes; Xylariales
Source: the annotation of a GenBank genome assembly
GCCCGGUUAGCUCAAUCGGUAGAGCGUGAGACUCUUACGAUGUACUGUGUAAUCUCAAGGCUGCGGGUUCGACCCCCGCAUUGGGCU